Molecule: long non-coding RNA, 200 nt
Filed under: Durio zibethinus
Lineage: Eukaryota; Viridiplantae; Streptophyta; Magnoliopsida; Malvales; Malvaceae
Description: long non-coding RNA (DZIB_LNC002207)
Source: RNAcentral
AAUUUGUUAUUAAACUAUUGAGAUAAUUUUAAAACUAAUUUUUAAUAUUAAAUUAUUUGAUAAAUCACAAAUAUGAUCAAUGUUUGGAUAAUUGAAAGUUAAACUAGUAUUAUCCUUUGGAUGGGUGUUGUGGGAGUGUUAUAACCUUAUUCAUACGUAAUUGUACUAUUGAAUUUAACAUUUGAUUUCGUGGAUCAAAA